GGCGACAAUUGAAAAACACUUCGUAUAAUCUUGAGAAUAGGCUCAGGAGUCUCUACGGAUCACCGGAAUGAUCUCUCUACGGAAUGAAGCAAUGGCAGU
RNAcentral lists this non-coding RNA (99 nucleotides) under Paenibacillus sp. Its description in RNAcentral is "Guanine sequence". It matches the Rfam family "Purine riboswitch aptamer". From Rfam's summary of the family: Riboswitches are metabolite binding domains within certain messenger RNAs that serve as precision sensors for their corresponding targets. Allosteric rearrangement of mRNA structure is mediated by ligand binding, and this results in modulation of gene expression. RNAcentral also lists the same sequence under 1 other name. The record is from RNAcentral. Lineage: Bacteria; Bacillati; Bacillota; Bacilli; Caryophanales; Paenibacillaceae.